Non-coding RNA from Maylandia zebra (zebra mbuna), 611 nucleotides. NCBI's taxonomy places the organism in Eukaryota, Metazoa, Chordata, Actinopteri, Cichliformes, Cichlidae. The record is from RefSeq and is a predicted model, not a curated record.
UCUCAGGAAAAGACCCAACCCUCUCUUCUUCCAGAAGCAAGUCAUUAACUUCUGUCCCAGGAAGAAAAGAGUUGGCAUUUGGGAGAGGCUCUGGCUCUGGUUUACAGUGGGUGAGGCUGCUCCUGCCUCAUGGGUCCAGUGGGUACACCUGUUCCUCUCUACUCAUUACUUCUCUGGAUUUAAGGACCGGCUGGAACCUCCAUUCUCCUCCAGAUUGUUGACGCCUGUGUGGGAGUAAUCAGGCUCAGUUACUAUGAUCUCAUCACUCUUUUGCAGUUCCCUGACUGUUCUCUCAGCCUAUCUCCUAGUUAUUCUUCUGGCUUGAUUCCUGGUUGGACCCUGCAAACAAAGAAAUCUUUUACUUACUUGCCAGUCCACUCUUCACCAAUCUCACCCUCUGGAAAUCCUUGCGUGUCUCCCCCAUCAGCAGCUACAUGAAGAGAUUCAAGUAAGAACACAAAUCUGCUCUCAAAUUGUAUAACAGCGGCAAAUCACAUUAGUUCUUUACUAACCUGUCCUCUCCACUCUGGCAGUCCUCUGGUGAAAUGCUGCCCAGUCCCUGAAAAGACACUCUUACAACAGUAAUACUUGCCUGCCUCAAAGCUCUUGUG